This 500-nucleotide ribosomal RNA is filed under the name uncultured bacterium. RNAcentral describes it as "bacterial SSU rRNA". It matches the Rfam family "Bacterial small subunit ribosomal RNA", at positions 501 to 1000 of the family's 1533-position model. The record is from RNAcentral.
CUACGUGCCAGCAGCCGCGGUAAUACGUAGGUCCCGAGCGUUGUCCGGAUUUAUUGGGCGUAAAGCGAGCGCAGGCGGUUAGAUAAGUCUGAAGUUAAAGGCUGUGGCUUAACCAUAGUACGCUUUGGAAACUGUUUAACUUGAGUGCAAGAGGGGAGAGUGGAAUUCCAUGUGUAGCGGUGAAAUGCGUAGAUAUAUGGAGGAACACCGGUGGCGAAAGCGGCUCUCUGGCUUGUAACUGACGCUGAGGCUCGAAAGCCAGGGGAGCGAACGGGAUUAGAUACCCCGGUAGUCCUGGCCGUAAACGAUGGGUACUAGGUGUAGGAGGUAUUGACCCCUUCUGUGCCGGAGUUAACGCAAUAAGUACCCCGCCUGGGGAGUACGACCGCAAGGUUGAAACUCAAAGGAAUUGACGGGGGCCCGCACAAGCGGUGGAGUAUGUGGUUUAAUUCGAUGCAACGCGAAGAACCUUACCUACUCUUGACAUCCAGAGAACAUUC